This 474-nucleotide ribosomal RNA is filed under the name uncultured soil bacterium. RNAcentral describes it as "bacterial SSU rRNA". It matches the Rfam family "Bacterial small subunit ribosomal RNA", at positions 26 to 518 of the family's 1533-position model. The record is from RNAcentral.
AGGACGAACGCUGGCGGCGUGCUUAACACAUGCAAGUCGAACGGUGAAGCCCUUCGGGGUGGAUCAGUGGCGAACGGGUGAGUAACACGUGAGCAACCUGCCCCCCACUCUGGGAUAACUCCGGGAAACCGGUGCUAAUACCGGAUACGAGCCUCGGCCUCAUGGUCUGUGGUUGGAAAGAAUUUUGGUGGGGGAUGGGCUCGCGGCCUAUCAGCUUGUUGGUGAGGUAAUGGCUCACCAAGGCGACGACGGGUAGCCGGCCUGAGAGGGCGACCGGCCACACUGGGACUGAGACACGGCCCAGACUCCUACGGGAGGCAGCAGUGGGGAAUAUUGCACAAUGGGCGAAAGCCUGAUGCAGCGACGCCGCGUGAGGGAUGACGGCCUUCGGGUUGUAAACCUCUUUCAGCUCCGAAGAAGCGAGAGUGACGGUAGGAGCAGAAGAAGCACCGGCUAACACGUGCCAGCAGCCGC